GCUAACGCCGUGUCAGCAGGCGGUUUGAUACCGUGGAUGCAAGAUUGUGCCGGAAGGAUUGGGCGGAAGAGUGCCGUAGUGGUGGAGUGAAGUGUUCGGUCAAAGGCUGUGGCUUAAACCUGGAAAGGGCGUGGAAACUGACGGGCUAGAGUGCAGUAGGGGUAGAGGGAAUUCCCGGUGUAGCGUUUAAAUGCGUAGAGCUCGGGAAGAACAUCGGUGGCGAAAGCGCUCUACUGGACUGCAACUGACACGCAGGGACGAAAGCUAGGGGAGCGAAUGGGAUUAGAUACCCGUGUAGUC
This 300-nucleotide ribosomal RNA is filed under the name uncultured Constrictibacter sp. RNAcentral's name for it is "bacterial SSU rRNA". It matches the Rfam family "Bacterial small subunit ribosomal RNA", at positions 496 to 795 of the family's 1533-position model. The record is from RNAcentral. Lineage: Bacteria; Pseudomonadati; Pseudomonadota; Alphaproteobacteria; Rhodospirillales; Allostellaceae.